This 253-nucleotide ribosomal RNA is filed under the name uncultured bacterium. RNAcentral describes it as "partial 16S ribosomal RNA". It matches the Rfam family "Bacterial small subunit ribosomal RNA", at positions 524 to 776 of the family's 1533-position model. The record is from RNAcentral.
UACGUAGGGGGCAAGCGUUGUCCGGAAUCAUUGGGCGUAAAGAGCGUGUAGGCGGCUCGGUAAGUCCGCUCUGAAAGCCCGGGGCUCAACCCCGGGAGGCGGGCGGAUACUGUCGGGCUAGAGUCCGGAAGAGGCGAGUGGAAUUCCUGGUGUAGCGGUGAAAUGCGCAGAUAUCAGGAGGAACACCAAUGGCGAAGGCAGCUCGCUGGGACGGUACUGACACUGAGACGCGAAAGCGUGGGGAGCAAACAGG